GUCCAUGCCGUAAACGAUGUCUACUAGCCGUUGGGCCUUUGAGGCUUUAGUGGCGCAGCUAACGCGAUAAGUAGACCGCCUGGGGAGUACGGUCGCAAGACUAAACUCAAAUGAAUUGACGGGGCCCGCACAAGCGGUGGAGUAUGUGGUUUAAUUCGAUGCAACGCGAAGAACCUUACCUGGUCUUGACAUAGUAAGAACUUUUCCAGAGAUGGAUUGGUGCCUUCGGGAACUUACAUACAGGUGCUGCAUGGCUGUCGU
Molecule: ribosomal RNA, 261 nt
Filed under: uncultured bacterium
Lineage: Bacteria
Description: partial 16S ribosomal RNA
Rfam family: Bacterial small subunit ribosomal RNA
Source: RNAcentral